AGGGAAUCUUCCGCAAUGGACGAAAGUCUGACGGAGCAACGCCGCGUGAGUGAUGAAGGUUUUCGGAUCGUAAAGCUCUGUUGCCAGGGAAGAACGUCUUCUGGAGUAACUGCCAGGAGAGUGACGGUACCUGAGAAGAAAGCCCCGGCUAACUACGUGCCAGCAGCCGCGGUAAUACGUAGGGGGCAAGCGUUGUCCGGAAUUAUUGGGCGUAAAGCGCGCGCAGGCGGCUGUUUAAGCCUGGUGUAUAAUCCUGGGGCUCAACUCCGGGUCGCACUGGAAACUGGACGGCUUGAGUGCAGAAGAGGAGAGUGGAAUUCCACGUGUAGCGGUGAAAUGCGUAGAGAUGUGGAGGAACACCAGUGGCGAAGGCGACUCUCUGGGCUGUAACUGACGCUGAGGCGCGAAAGCGUGGGGAGCAAAC
This 424-nucleotide ribosomal RNA is filed under the name uncultured bacterium. RNAcentral describes it as "bacterial SSU rRNA". It matches the Rfam family "Bacterial small subunit ribosomal RNA", at positions 356 to 773 of the family's 1533-position model. The record is from RNAcentral.